GCUGAGGUGGCUUCCUGGUAGAGCAAGGGUGGAGAAAGCUGGCAUCUCUUGGGGUGUCUAGCAGGAGGUGAGUGGAUGUGUUGUUUCCAUGGACAUACCAUUGUCCAUUUUCCUCUCUAGGUUGUGACAAAUUGGGACUGGGCUUCGCCUGGUGAGGUGGAGGCUGGUGUUAAUUUAUUCCAUAAACUUUCCCCCCUGUAACCUUCAUAUAACAUAUUACUUCCAAGGUAGAGUUACUUUGUGAUUACUUUGAGUACGUGACUAGAGUUACUUUGGAGAUGUGCUUAAUUCCUUCUAAUGGGAUAUGUUCAGGCUAAUGGAAUAAUUCACAAGUAGGGAUGUUUGUGUUGUGUGUGUGUGUGUGUGUGUAUGCGUUUGUGUGUGACUCAUCAGAAAAAGCACACACCAGUAUAUUCAGGAACCUGCUUACUCUCUUGCCUGCUUGGAAGGCGUGGUGCCUCUUGUUCUACCUCUGUUUGCAUUUGGAACCCUCAGUGCAAAUUCCUGGUCUUCCUGAAUAACUGUACGCAUCGGAGCUGCAGACCACGCGCUGCUUCCGGAGGAGUUGUAAGGUGCACUGGAGGUACUGAGGGCUUCAAUAAGGCUGUGCUACAAUUCGAGAAGAGAGAGACAAAGCAAGAGAAGGAACACAAGCAGGGGGAGUGGGAGAGGGAGAAGCAGGCUUCCCGCGGAGCAGGGAGCCCGAUGCGGGGCUCGAUUCCAGGACUCUGGGAUCAUGACCUGAGCCGAAGGCAGACGCUUAACGACUGAGCCACCCAGGCGCCCCAAAGUUUUGUGAUGGGCAUAUCUUGCAAGAGAAGCUGGCACUCUUUGUCACAGAGCUAAACGUGCACCUGGCCCAGGAUCCGUAGAAGCUGAAGUGGGAGAUCUAUCUGGAGAUGGAGAAGUUGUUCACUUGGCUGCUACCCUGUGCCACCCAAGAGAACAGCAUGGAAGCAUGAUGUCCAGGAGCUGCAGCUAUACCUUGAGCCUGACAUUGACCUUCCCAGCACAAAAGGAAGAUGACUGCUCCUCCUCUUUUGCCUUUCAAAUGCUGUCUUUUGUGCUUCAAAGUCACCUAGUCCUACGUAGAGAAGGGAACUCUGGGAGAUUUAGCCAAGCUGACAUAAUACAAAUCUACCACACUUGCCUAUGUUCUUGUCUUUCCCCAUCCCAUACAUUCUUUAUUUCUUUUUUUUUAAAGAUUUUAUUUAUUUAUUUGAGAGAGAGAAUGAGAGAGAGCACAUGAGAGGGGGGAGGGUCAGAGGGAGAAGCAGACUCCCUGCUGAGCAGGGAGCCCGAUGCGGGACUCGAUCCCAGGACUCCAGGAUCAUGACCUGAGCCGAAGGCAGUCGCUCAACCGACUGAGCCACCCAGGCGCCCCAUUCUUUAUUUCUUUUUAACUGCAAGAUAAGAUGCAAAAUUUUUGCAUAUUGUGUUAACUAAACUCAAUGGAAUCUUUGUUAUUAUAUGACAGUUUUAAAAAAUUUUUUGAAGUUUUGAAGUUUUUUUGAACUGUUUGUUCAACUUGUAUUUAGUCCUCAAUGAAUUCCUUACAGUCUUUUUCUAGUCUCAUCAAACCCUUACUUUUUCCUCAUGCUUCUCUCUCCUGUUGCUGAAGUUUUUUUUUUUUUUAAAGAUUUUAUUUAUUCAUUUGAGAGAGAGAGCAUGAGCCGGGGGCUAGAUGUGGGUCUUGAUCCCAAGACCCCAAGAUCACGUCUUGAGCCAAAGGCAGAUGCUUAACUGACUGAGACACCCAGGCAUCCUUUCUCCUGUUACCAAUGUUAAUUAAAGUAAAGGGAUGUAGGCUAGAUCUGUGGUUCUCAAACUUUAGGGUGAUUGAGACUCAGCUAGAGGCCUUAUGAAGACAGAGAUUGCUGGGUCCCACCCCCAAGAUUUUUAAUUCCACAGGCCUAGGGAGAUGAGAAGAAUGUCCUUCUGGCAAGUUCCAAUGUGAGGCCAGACUGCAAAGGUUUUAGUGGUGAGCUAAGGAUGGGGAUGGAGAUUGAACCAAGGUAGGCUGAGCAUAGUACUAUGGUAAUAACAGGGUUUUGGGGAGAGACCCCGUGUUUUAAACAUUUGGAUGGCUCCCUUGGCCCUGGUGUCAUACAACUUGCCUGCUACAUCUAGGGUUAGCUUUACGGGUUUCUAGGAAGAUCUUAAACCUAUUCCAUGUGUAUUUUGGUUUUAGCAAAAAAAACCACACAAAAAACAACCCCCCCCCCCCCACAAAACAAAACAAAACAACAAGACAUACUGGAAUAAAUGCAUAUCCAGACCCUUGAUGAGAUGGUGAAGACAUGCGGAAAAGAAGUUCAGAUCUUACCA
Long non-coding RNA from Mirounga angustirostris (Northern elephant seal), 2328 nucleotides. RefSeq lists it as uncharacterized. The record is from RefSeq and is a predicted model, not a curated record. NCBI's taxonomy places the organism in Eukaryota, Metazoa, Chordata, Mammalia, Carnivora, Phocidae. The transcript has 3 exons.